RNAcentral lists this ribosomal RNA (49 nucleotides) under Burkholderia sp. NFPP32. Lineage: Bacteria; Pseudomonadati; Pseudomonadota; Betaproteobacteria; Burkholderiales; Burkholderiaceae. RNAcentral also lists the same sequence under 1 other name. The record is from RNAcentral.
ACGCCGAUGAUAGUGCGGAUUCCCGUGUGAAAGUAGGUAAUCGUCAGGC